RNAcentral lists this long non-coding RNA (380 nucleotides) under Canis lupus dingo (dingo). Its description in RNAcentral is "lncRNA (ENSCAFG00020024590.1)". The record is from RNAcentral. Lineage: Eukaryota; Metazoa; Chordata; Mammalia; Carnivora; Canidae.
UCGCGCCGUUCUCGGGGGCGGCCGAGGCCGACGAGGGCGGCGGCGACUGGAGCUUCAUCGACUGCGAGAUGGAGGAGGUGGACCUGCAGGACCUGCCGAGCGCCACCAUCGCCUGCCACCUGGACCCGCGCGUGUUCGUGGACGGCCUGUGCCGGGACAACGUCCCUGCAUUCUCAAUCUGCACUCUUGGAAGAAAAGCCAAUGUUUGGCAGGUGCAGUAUGCAACUCCCAUGUGAGGUCCUAAUCAACACCAGAGAGCAAGUAUUUGAGGCUGGCCUGAAUUCAGAUUGAAGAGGCGAAAAUGUGACUUCAUUCAGAGAGCCGAGUCUGGGGUUUUUUUGUUUUCACUCAACACAACAGUAGCUUGUUUUCCUUCCCAC